UGGAGGAAAGCAGGGGAUCGUAAGACCUUGCGCUUUUGGAGCGGCCGAUGUCUGAUUAGCUAGUUGGUGGGGUAAUGGCCUACCAAAGCUUCGAUCAGCAGCUGGUCUGAGAGGACGGCCAGCCACACUGGGACUGAGACACGGCCCAGACUCCUACGGGAGGCAGCAGUGGGGAAUUUUGGACAAUGGGCGCAAGCCUGAUCCAGCCAUGCCGCGUGAGUGAAGAAGGCCUUCGGGUUGUAAAGCUCUUUCAGCCGGGAAGAAAAGGCUGCGACUAAUAAUCGCAGUUCAUGACGGUACCGGAAGAAGAAGCACCGGCUAACUACGUGCCAGCAGCCGCGGUAAUACGUAGGGUGCGAGCGUUAAUCGGAAUUACUGGGCGUAAAGGGUGCGCAGGCGGUUUUGUAAGUCAGAUGUGA
RNAcentral lists this ribosomal RNA (419 nucleotides) under uncultured ammonia-oxidizing beta proteobacterium. RNAcentral's name for it is "bacterial SSU rRNA". It matches the Rfam family "Bacterial small subunit ribosomal RNA", at positions 197 to 597 of the family's 1533-position model. The record is from RNAcentral. Lineage: Bacteria; Pseudomonadati; Pseudomonadota; Betaproteobacteria.